CGGGUAACCUGCCCAAGAGAUCGGGAUAACACCUGGAAACAGAUGCUAAUACCGGAUAACAACAGAUGAUGCCUAUCAACUGUUUAAAAGAUGGUUCUGCUAUCACUCUUGGAUGGACCUGCGGUGCAUUAGCUAGUUGGUAGGGUAACGGCCUACCAAGGCGAUGAUGCAUAGCCGAGUUGAGAGACUGAUCGGCCACAUUGGGACUGAGACACGGCCCAAACUCCUACGGGAGGCAGCAGC
RNAcentral lists this ribosomal RNA (243 nucleotides) under uncultured Lactobacillus sp. Its description in RNAcentral is "partial 16S ribosomal RNA". It matches the Rfam family "Bacterial small subunit ribosomal RNA", at positions 118 to 355 of the family's 1533-position model. The record is from RNAcentral. Lineage: Bacteria; Bacillati; Bacillota; Bacilli; Lactobacillales; Lactobacillaceae.